UACGAAGGGGGCUAGCGUUGCUCGGAAUGACUGGGCGUAAAGGGCGCGUAGGCGGAUGGCACAGUCAGAUGUGAAAUUCCCGGGCUUAACCUGGGGGCUGGCAUUUGAUACGUGUGAUCUAGAGUGAGGAAAGAGGGUCGUGGAAUUCCCAGUGUAGAGGUGAAAUUCGUAGAUAUUGGGAAGAACACCGGGUGGGCGAAGGCGGCGACCUGGUCCUUGACUGACGCUGGAGGCGCGACAGCGUGGGGAGCAAACAGG
Molecule: ribosomal RNA, 258 nt
Filed under: uncultured bacterium
Lineage: Bacteria
Description: partial 16S ribosomal RNA
Rfam family: Bacterial small subunit ribosomal RNA
Source: RNAcentral